AACGCGAAGAACCUUACCAAGGUUUGACAUGCAGGGAAAAGCCGUAGAGAUAUGGUGUCCGUAAGGGUCCUGCACAGGUGGUGCAUGGCUGUCGUCAGCUCGUGUCGUGAGAUGUUGGGUUAAGUCCCGCAACGAGCGCAACCCUCGUCCUAUGUUGCCAGCGGGUAAUGCCGGGGACUCAUAGGAGACUGCCGGGGUCAACUCGGAGGAAGGUGGGGAUGACGUCAAGUCCUCAUGCCCCUUAUGUCUUGGGCUGCAAACAUGCUACAAUGGCCGGUACAAAGGGUUGCGAGACCGCAAGGUGGAGCGAAUCCCAAAAAGCCGGUCUCAGUUCGGAUUGGGGUCUGCAACUCGACCCCAUGAAGUCGGAGUCGCUAGUAAUCGCAGAUCAGCAACGCUGCGGUGAAUACGUUCCCGGGCCUUGUA
This 426-nucleotide ribosomal RNA is filed under the name uncultured Actinomycetes bacterium. RNAcentral's name for it is "bacterial SSU rRNA". It matches the Rfam family "Bacterial small subunit ribosomal RNA", at positions 958 to 1385 of the family's 1533-position model. Lineage: Bacteria; Bacillati; Actinomycetota; Actinomycetes. The record is from RNAcentral.